RNAcentral lists this ribosomal RNA (523 nucleotides) under uncultured soil bacterium. RNAcentral's name for it is "bacterial SSU rRNA". It matches the Rfam family "Bacterial small subunit ribosomal RNA", at positions 8 to 526 of the family's 1533-position model. The record is from RNAcentral.
AGAGUUUGAUCCUGGCUCAGAUUGAACGCUGGCGGCAUGCCUUACACAUGCAAGUCGAACGGCAGCACGGACUUCGGUCUGGUGGCGAGUGGCGAACGGGUGAGUAAUGCAUCGGAACGUGCCCUGAAGUGGGGGAUAACGUAGCGAAAGUUACGCUAAUACCGCAUAUUCUGUGAGCAGGAAAGCAGGGGAUCGCAAGACCUUGUGCUUUAGGAGCGGCCGAUGUCGGAUUAGCUAGUUGGUGAGGUAAAGGCUCACCAAGGCAACGAUCCGUAGCGGGUCUGAGAGGAUGAUCCGCCACACUGGGACUGAGACACGGCCCAGACUCCUACGGGAGGCAGCAGUGGGGAAUUUUGGACAAUGGGCGCAAGCCUGAUCCAGCCAUGCCGCGUGAGUGAAGAAGGCCUUCGGGUUGUAAAGCUCUUUCGGCGGGGAAGAAAUCGCAUUCACUAAUACUGGAUGUGGAUGACGGUACCCGAAUAAGAAGCACCGGCUAACUACGUGCCAGCCGCCGCGGUAAUAC